UCAUAGCACAGAAGGAUUGGCCCCA
This 25-nucleotide non-coding RNA is filed under the name Mus musculus (house mouse). The record is from RNAcentral. Lineage: Eukaryota; Metazoa; Chordata; Mammalia; Rodentia; Muridae.